This 837-nucleotide long non-coding RNA is filed under the name Marmota monax (woodchuck). Lineage: Eukaryota; Metazoa; Chordata; Mammalia; Rodentia; Sciuridae. The record is from RNAcentral.
GAGUUUGUGUAUUAUGUUAGUCUAUGAAAAUGUGCAAAUGUAUUGUAGAGACUUUAUAAUGAGAACUGCAUAUAUUUAUGAGACUUGAAAAUGAAUGUUUUAUCAAAUUUGCUUUCAUAUAUAGGUUUAGCACUAUCUUUUCUUAUAUAGGCUUAGUAAAAUAUAUAAGAAAAUAACCACCAUGUUGUGAAAAAGUGAACAAAGUCACGUACUAAAUGCACAGCUUUAUGUACCCUGUCUCUCACUUGUGCCUAAAAUUUCCCCUCCCCUAAGAGAAAAAAAAAGAUUUCACAUUUGGAAAAGUAAUUUUAAUAGCUAAUCACUUUUGAGUGUAACCUGACUCUAGUUGUUGAAACUCAACAAAAAUAAGAUACUCUGUUAGCUAGGGCUUGUCCUGUGUGAUAUUUAAUAAUGAGAGAGGAUUGCUGGUUUGUCUUUAGGCAAUUGGAAGAUGGACUAAAAGUAUAAAAUGGACUCAUACUGGGAAGAUUUGUUUAAAUCUUUAUUUUGCAUGAAAUUUAUUUUGCAUGAAAUAACCCACUUGUUACCUGGAAGGAUAAGGGUUCUGAUCAUGUGUGUGUUCAAGAUAGAAAAUCUUGAGAAAAAAUAGAAAUGGGGCAGGACUUGGUAAGUACUAGUAAGUAACUCCAAAUGCUUUCACUCCAGAUUUUUGUUCACUCUGGCAGAAUAGAUUUUUGGUGAAUUAAAUAUAAAUAUGAACGUACAUUAAGUUUGAAUAACUUUAUGUAAGCCACAUAUUAGGGAGGUCAAUUAGAUCAACUCUUGCAAAAUUCCUUAAAAAAGUUUAUUAGUAAGAGAAUCAUGAACACAUGAUAA